Molecule: long non-coding RNA, 1855 nt
Organism: Papaver somniferum (opium poppy)
Lineage: Eukaryota; Viridiplantae; Streptophyta; Magnoliopsida; Ranunculales; Papaveraceae
Exons: 5
Source: RefSeq, a predicted model, not a curated record
UACAGUCUCCACCACCCAAACCAAAACUUAUCUUGUUCUCCUCGUCUUUUUUAUUUUCUUCUCAACCGGGAUCUUGUAAAUCAAAACCCCUUGUCCCUCUCCCUCAGCCAAAACUUGUGAACCAAUAUUAUCCUCAGCUAAAUCUAGAUCCUUUAAAAUCGAACCUAUCUUUUGUAGACAUAAAUCAAACUCAAUUUUCUAUAAAUCAAAGAUUCAAAACCCAUUAGAAAUCAAACCUAAUUUUACUUACCCAAAUUUCGCUUUAAACCCUAGAUAUGUGAUUUUUUCUUAUAUGAAAUGAGUUUACCGGUGAAACCUACUGAAGAGCUAGGGUUUCAUAAGAAGUUCAAAGAAGAAUUAGAAGAUGAAAUUGAUGUUUAGAAAAGGGGAUUUGAGAUGGGUAUUGACCGAUUGAGUGAACUAGGGUCGAGGAUGAAGAGUAAUUCAAGAUUGAAGAAGUUAGGGUUUUGAAGCUGACAUUGAUUGGAAAUCAGAAGGUUGAGGGAAUAGUAAAUUAGGGUUCUAUGAUGAAGAUCGUGGAGUGUUGGUCGUAUAGUUGCAGUUAGUGGUUCAGUAGAUGAUUGCAGAUGCUGAUUACAGGUAACUCUAAAUUUGUAAUUGGGAUUGAUGUAGUUUUGAAUAAGUCAUAAGAUAGGUCUGAGCUUGAUAAUAUUAUGAUGACAUGAAUGGUAAUAUUUGUUGCAAGAAGAAGAUUUGUGUCUUAGAUUUGGUAGAAAUGGAAUUGCGUACUUAGUAGUGGUUUAGUGAACUACAGGAUUUCUAGAGAUGGUAAAUGGAAAUGAAAAUGGAGUUGGGAUUGUAGGUGGUGGUAGUUUCAGGUAAUGAAUCAAUAUGGAAGUUGAGUAGAUGUUGUUGAGUUUAAGUCACAAUGGCUGUGAAUGAAAAAUUGAAAGAAUGGAGAUGGUACAUCACGAAAAAUAUGAAGAAGAGUUGAUGGCGGUUGUGUAAGUGAUAAAAAUUUGGCAGUGACGAUAGUGAAAUUUGGUGGUAGUUGGUAAGUGUUGCAAAAUUAUUUUUAUCAAAAUCAGAUCUAAAGUUUUUGUAGAUUUUAGUAAUAUCAAGACCAGAUUUGAGGAUAGUUAUACCCUUCUCUCUCUGGAUUUGGAGUUCGUGUCGAGUCCUUAGUUUCCCUAUGUUUUUAUAUUAGUUUUACAUUAUGCCCCUAUUUUAAAGCUACAACCAGUUGGAUGAUCCAGUGGUUUUGACAAUUUUCAAGUGUGCAAAUAAGCUUCUUGCUAGUAUAAAAGCAUGAAAGAAUCUAACAGAAGCUUCAUAAGGUUGCAGUACAACAAACUUAAGAUGCUAAAAAUAAUUUCAUUGUCCCUGAAGUUGUAAAGGAUCAUGCCAAACUGGGUUCAAUUACAGAUGCAUCAGGGUGUGGUACGUGCAUGAUACUAUGAUAGUCAUUCACUUUGGUAUAAAAGAGGUUGGUGACGGAAGGUGUUCGCGAAACGUUCUCAUAGAUGGCACCUGAACUUCUUGGUGGGAAAAGCAACAUGGUACUGAAACGGCAUAGCUAUACAGAUAUUUAUGGUGCUUCUCUGAUUGUUGCAUGCCACUGUGAUGAAUGCUCGGCACAGGAAUAGUUUCAGUAUUCAGAAGAAAAGGUGCGCAUGAAGAUAUCCGUACUCAAAGCCUAGAGUUUUAUUAAAUGUUAGUGAUAUUGUGUAUCUCGUAUUAUGUGUCUUUCUUAAUUUAUUUUAAUCAACACAUUAUUAUAUUUAUAUCACUCGAGAGAUUUUCAUUUAUAUAAUAUCAGAGUGUUUGGGUUUGUAUCGGGAUUGGUUUAUGUAAUUAUGAUUCUUAAAAUGGGUAAUCUAGAUAUGAUGCUUCU